ACAACGUCACCUUCUGGAGCUAUCAGGCAUCUUUGGAAGGUGCCAAGUGGAGAGCAGGUGCCUGAGCCUGUCAACUAUCACAGACUCAUCUUAGAUGUGAAGUGGCUGAACACACUUGAUCACGGGCAGCCUGUUGUCCUGGUGACCGACGACAGCUGGCCUCACUCUUUGGGGUCAGGCUGGGCUCCAGAUGUGCAAGAGUCAGUUUACAGAAGAGGGAGACUGAAGUUAACAACUGGCUUGAGCCCUGUCUGGCUCUGGAGUUCAUGCUUUUCCCACACAGAAGACUUCUGAGGAAGAGGGAAGGGCUGGCGAAAGGGAGGAUUGAGAGAGGCGGGAGUCAAAGGCAUUGCUAGAUGGAUUGAAAAAACAAAUUCCAGUGCUGGUCCUGGAAGCUUCUUAAAAAGGCUGUGUAUGGAAUACACCACGUGGGAACAGACUCUAGGAUUUCAGAAGGACCCUCAGUCGUGGAAGCACAAGGGCUUAUGAGGAAAAGUAAAACCAGGCUCAGGAUGUUUUGGUUCCAUGUGCGAACUGGAGGAAGAAUGCGGCUCGUCUGAGCUCCUGUGCUGGAGAAUGAGCCACAGGCAAACUCCCUAAUCACCAAACCACAGUAGAGGGUGGGGAAAUGGGG
Molecule: long non-coding RNA, 634 nt
Organism: Marmota monax (woodchuck)
Lineage: Eukaryota; Metazoa; Chordata; Mammalia; Rodentia; Sciuridae
Exons: 4
Source: RefSeq, a predicted model, not a curated record